UGAUGAGACGAAGUUGACGCUGCAUGGA
Molecule: non-coding RNA, 28 nt
Filed under: Homo sapiens (human)
Lineage: Eukaryota; Metazoa; Chordata; Mammalia; Primates; Hominidae
Source: RNAcentral